CACGAAACGUUUGUUCGCCACCACAGAAACCUAAAAUAUAUUUUAUUUAUUGUAUUUUUAUAAAUUAUGAUAAAACAAUAAAUAUUUGUGUAGUUUUAUCAUAAUUCAUAAAAAUACAAUAAAUAAAAUAUAUUUUAGGUUUCUGUGGUGGCGAACAAACGUUUCGUG
RNAcentral lists this microRNA precursor (168 nucleotides) under Paramuricea clavata. Lineage: Eukaryota; Metazoa; Cnidaria; Anthozoa; Malacalcyonacea; Plexauridae. The record is from RNAcentral.